This is a non-coding RNA of Betaproteobacteria bacterium, 74 nucleotides long. NCBI's taxonomy places the organism in Bacteria, Pseudomonadati, Pseudomonadota, Betaproteobacteria. The record is from Rfam.
AGGCGCGUAGCUCAGCUGGUUAGAGCACUACCUUGACAUGGUAGGGGUCGUUGGUUCGAGUCCAAUCGCGCCUA